Molecule: ribosomal RNA, 322 nt
Filed under: uncultured eukaryote
Lineage: Eukaryota
Description: partial 18S ribosomal RNA
Rfam family: Eukaryotic small subunit ribosomal RNA
Source: RNAcentral
CCCUUAGAUGUUCUGGGCCGCACGCGUGCUACACUGAGUGGAUCAGCGGGUCAGGUUGCGCGAAAGCGUUUCCUAAUCUUUAAAUCCGCUCGUGAUGGGGAUUGACGGUUGCAAUUUUCUGUCAUGAACGAGGAAUACCUUGUAAGCGCGGGUCAUCAUCCCGCGCUGAAUACGUCCCUGCCCUUUGUACACACCGCCCGUCGCUCCUACCGAUUGAGUGGUCCGGUGAGGCUUUGGGAUCUGAGCGGAACGAGCGUUUCGCUGUUUCUGCUCGGAAAACUCAGUCGAACCUUAUCAUUUAGAGGAAGGAGAAGUCGUAACA